This 484-nucleotide ribosomal RNA is filed under the name uncultured bacterium. RNAcentral's name for it is "partial 16S ribosomal RNA". It matches the Rfam family "Bacterial small subunit ribosomal RNA", at positions 30 to 507 of the family's 1533-position model. The record is from RNAcentral.
AUUGAACGCUGGCGGAAUGCUUUACACAUGCAAGUCGAACGGCAGCACGGGGGCAGCCCUGGUGGCGAGUGGCGAACGGGUGAGUAAUACAUCGGAACGUGCCCGGUCGUGGGGGAUAACGUAGCGAAAGUUACGCUAAUACCGCAUACGAUCUGAGGAUGAAAGCGGGGGACCUUCGGGCCUCGCGCGAUCGGAGCGGCCGAUGUCAGAUUAGGUAGUUGGUGGGGUAAAGGCCUACCAAGCCGACGAUCUGUAGCUGGUCUGAGAGGACGACCAGCCACACUGGGACUGAGACACGGCCCAGACUCCCACGGGAGGCAGCAGUGGGGAAUUUUGGACAAUGGGCGCAAGCCUGAUCCAGCCAUUCCGCGUGCAGGACGAAGGCCUUCGGGUUGUAAACUGCUUUUGUACGGAACGAAAAGGCUCUGGCUAAUACCUGGGGCUCAUGACGGUACCGUAAGAAUAAGCACCGGCUAACUACGUG